CAGUCGCCGCGGUAAUACGAAGGGUGCAAGCGUUACUCGGAAUUACUGGGCGUAAAGCGUGCGUAGGUGGUGGUUUAAGUCCGUUGUGAACGCCCUGGGCUCAACCUGGGAAUUGCAGUGGAUACUGGAUCACUAGAGUGUGGUAGAGGAUAGUGGAAUUUCCGGUGUAGCAGUGAAAUGCGUAGAGAUCGGAAGGAACAUCUGUGGCGAAGGCGACUAUCUGGGCCAACACUGACACUGAGGCACGAAAGCGUGGGGAGCAAACAGGAUUAGAUACCCCGGUAGUCCCUGUCUCUUAUAC
Molecule: ribosomal RNA, 301 nt
Filed under: uncultured bacterium
Lineage: Bacteria
Description: partial 16S ribosomal RNA
Rfam family: Bacterial small subunit ribosomal RNA
Source: RNAcentral